This 355-nucleotide long non-coding RNA is filed under the name Homo sapiens (human). Its description in RNAcentral is "HSALNT0220259". Lineage: Eukaryota; Metazoa; Chordata; Mammalia; Primates; Hominidae. The record is from RNAcentral.
GAGAUGGGGUGGGCAGAUGUGGAGGGGUGAAAGAGGAGUUGUGAAACUGAGCCAUCAACUGUGCCUAGAGAUCACUGAAGUGAAGGACCGGAGACACUAAAGCUAAGAGUUAACGUUUAUUGAGCAUCUACAGUAUACCAAGCCCUCUUCUAGAAACAAAUGAACACAAAGUUCUUGGCACAGUGCCUGGCACAGUCAGGCUCCAUCAAGUUUCAUUUCCUUUCUCCCUGCUAUUAAAUGAGAAAGAGGGCAUGAGGAGGUGGGAGUAAAGGAGCCAGAAAGGGAAGGUAGGAGACUGGCAAGAAGAAGCUCUGGCUGCUCUGGGAUGCAACAUGCAGGUUCCCGCAACCCUCCU